UUUGUACUACCUCCGUCCCAAAUUACUUGUCUUAGAUUUAUCUACAUACGGAUGUAUCUAACACUAUCUAGACAAAUCUAAGACAAGUAAUUUAGGAGGGAGGGAGUACAUC
Molecule: non-coding RNA, 112 nt
Organism: Hordeum vulgare subsp. vulgare (domesticated barley)
Lineage: Eukaryota; Viridiplantae; Streptophyta; Magnoliopsida; Poales; Poaceae
Source: Rfam